Molecule: ribosomal RNA, 245 nt
Filed under: uncultured bacterium
Lineage: Bacteria
Description: partial 16S ribosomal RNA
Rfam family: Bacterial small subunit ribosomal RNA
Source: RNAcentral
UAGGGAGCGAGCGUUGUCCGGUUUUACUGGGUGUAAAGGGUGCGUAGGCGGAUUUUCAAGUCAGUAGUGAAAUGCAGGGGCUUAACCCCUGAGCUGCUAUUGAAACUGAGAGUCUUGAGUGGAGUAGAGGCAGGCGGAAUUCCCGGUGUAGCGGUGAAAUGCGUAGAGAUCGGGAGGAACACCAGUGGCGAAGGCGGCCUGCUGGGCUUUAACUGACGCUGAGGCACGAAAGCAUGGGUAGCAAA